Molecule: long non-coding RNA, 393 nt
Organism: Pipra filicauda (Wire-tailed manakin)
Lineage: Eukaryota; Metazoa; Chordata; Aves; Passeriformes; Pipridae
Exons: 2
Source: RefSeq, a predicted model, not a curated record
AGACAAUCUUUAAGGUCUCUUCCAAACCAAACCAAUCUGUGCUUUCAUAGGCUUCUGUAACAUGAUUGGAGGUGCUUCAAAACUCAAAUAUGGGCAGGAUAAGGUCGUGCUGAGCUGACAGCUAUUGCAUUCACUCUCCACAUAGUGUGGCAGAAGCAGCAGAUAAGCUUUUGGACAACUACUUUACAGGUGCAGGAGAUGAACUGGAUUGGUUUGAGUGUAACUGUACAAGACUGAGCAUGGUCAGUGCUACACUGGGUCAGGUCCCUCGACUCGGAGCUGCAGGGGAUGGGCACCUUGCCCUAAUGGCCACUCAGGCCUGCACCACAAAUAAUUGCAAUCAAUUAGAAAAAGAAUAAUAAACCACUGUGUGAUACAGAGAGGUCAUGAAAA